UAAAAAGCAUCCAUUACCUUACAUCCAUAAACAGAAGUGUAGCUCUAAGAAAAAAAAAUCAAAUCACCAAUACAACUUGAGUGGUUUUCUCACCUGAGAAAUUGCAGCAUAGCGAGCCAGACCCCAGGCUGCUUCCUUAACAGCCAGAGCAGUGGGACCAUUGGGGAUGCUCACAACAGUACGCCUAAUAUGGUGUUAUGGGUUGAUAUGAUGAAAAAAUGAGCAUGAUGUGUAGCACAAGAAAAAAAAAGGCACAAAAUUAUGAAUGAUUUUGCUGUCACUGCAAAGGGCAAUGAACAAUGAACACUCACCAUUUGGCGAAACGGGCACCUUGCUGAUAGUAUGCAGCUGAGCGAGAGGCAAGACCAUCCAAACCUUGGCACCAUGACUCAUCGUUGGAUCCAGCAAGGGGAACCAAACCCUGUUGUCUCAAUUACAUAAACCAUGAUUUAAAUGUACAUACACUGCCAUAUUUUAGUUCAACAUCGAGAUUUUCACUAUGUUGAACUACAAAAAAGCUAACCUCCGAUAUCUUAUAACUAAGCAGUGUUUAUGUGAGACUUGAAUCAUCUUUCUAUAUGGACAAUAACAAAUAUCUGAAUGAUGGUACAAUUAAGCAUAAAGUACAUAUCAUAUUAACAUCCAUCAACACUCAUACUAAUUCUUUUCAUUGCUAUUUGAGGUGUUAGUAGUAACUGCAUAGCAAAGGAAGAAAAGGGUGAUUCCAAAAUUCUUACCUU
This 740-nucleotide long non-coding RNA is filed under the name Phaseolus vulgaris (common bean). RNAcentral describes it as "long non-coding RNA (PVUL_LNC000059)". Lineage: Eukaryota; Viridiplantae; Streptophyta; Magnoliopsida; Fabales; Fabaceae. The record is from RNAcentral.